CAGUAGCCACGGUAAUACAGAGGGUGCAAGCGUUAAUCGGAAUUACUGGGCGUAAAGUGCGCGUAGGUGGUUUGUUAAGUUGGAUGUGAAAUCCCCGGGCUCAACCUGGGAACUGCAUCCAAAACUGGCAAGCUAGAGUAUGGUAGAGGGUGGUGGAAUUUCCUGUGUAGCGGUGAAAUGCGUAGAUAUAGGAAGGAACACCAGUGGCGAAGGCGACCACCUGGACUGAUACUGACACUGAGGUGCGAAAGCGUGGGGAGCAAACAGGAUUAGAUACCCCUGUAGUCCCUGUCUCUUAUAC
This 301-nucleotide ribosomal RNA is filed under the name uncultured bacterium. Its description in RNAcentral is "partial 16S ribosomal RNA". It matches the Rfam family "Bacterial small subunit ribosomal RNA", at positions 509 to 807 of the family's 1533-position model. The record is from RNAcentral.